This 253-nucleotide ribosomal RNA is filed under the name uncultured bacterium. RNAcentral describes it as "partial 16S ribosomal RNA". It matches the Rfam family "Bacterial small subunit ribosomal RNA", at positions 524 to 776 of the family's 1533-position model. The record is from RNAcentral.
UACGGGGGGGGCAAGCGUUGUUCGGAAUUACUGGGCGUAAAGCGCGUGUAGGCAGUUUCGCAAGUCGGGUGUGAAAGCCCUGGGCUCAACCUAGGAAGUGCACUCGAAACUGCGAGACUUGAGUCCUGGAGAGGAAGGCGGAAUUCUCGGUGUAGAGGUGAAAUUCGUAGAUAUCGAGAGGAACACCGGUGGCGAAGGCGGCCUUCUGGACAGUGACUGACGCUGAGACGCGAAAGCGUGGGGAGCAAACAGG